AUGCUCCCGACAUGCAACUCUGCUCCGCCUCUCAGAGGCAAUGUUUUCCGAAGCGCAAGCGGAUCUCUGCUGCGCGGUCUUUGCUGGAGGGAUUAGUUCGGGUCUUGGGCGACCCUGUGGCUCACUUGACUUUGGUGUGGCUGAGGGUGAAUUAAGACGUUCUCAAAGAAGACUGAGGAACGCAUUCGGGAGUCCAGAACGGGUGGAGGUGGGAAUGGGGGCGGGGAUGACUAGGGACUUAGGCCUCAGUGAGCGGGGGUAUCCGGGAUAAAAUCCAUGGAAGUGACCCUGAGUGGUGCCACGAGCUUACCUGUGUACAAGAGACUGGAGCAAGGUCUGGCAGUUGAAAAGAUGAAGGUGUCUUGCUUUGGGUGAGCUUGUGGAUCCGAUUCGGGGUCUGGAACCCUGUGUACAGUUGUUUAUAUUCGCAGGACAGUUUUUACAAAUUUGAAUCUUUGUUUUGUUAGAUAUGAGGCAGUUUUUAUUAGAGGUUAUACACCAUUGCUGGAAAGCAACGAAAAGUGGUCGCGAAUGGACAUUGUGAACAGGGGGACCUGUGAGAAGGUCUCUGUAGGACUGAGACUUGAGGAGUGGAUCACCAUCCUCCAGCUUGGAUUGAAAAAGCAAGACACAUUCAUCUUGUGGAGUAUAUCUACAGUGGGAUAAUGCACAGCAGUGAAAAUUACUGAAUUUAACAAAUAUGAUAAGCAAAGAGCCAUAGAAAAUACAUACAUUUUAGAUCCAUUCAUAAAAUUUUAAAAAGAGGCAAAACAUUUUUUGCAUAAGUGGUUCAUAAUAAAAAACAAAGAUAUGAUAAAUAAAAUUCAGGAAUGUGGAAACUACAAGAAACCAGGAAGAUGAAGAGAUAAAUUUGCAAGCUGAUUCAAAGUUAUUCGUGUAUUCUUUCUUAAGCUGGAUUGUAUUUACACAAUUAUAUACUUUUAAAAUAUAUUCUUCAGUAAUUAUAAUUUAUCUUUGAUGAAAUUUAAAAAAUUUAAAUAUAGCAAUUGAAUAACUGUCCUCGUAUGAUUGUAUGAACAUGGAAAAAGUCAUGGGAUAUGCAUAUCAUAUUUUUAAGUGUUCUACACAAGGGUAGUGUAGGAGCUUGUGAAGGUAAAUAUGUACAGAGGAGAAACUGAUAGGUGAUGUAAGAAAAAAAGCCUGUUAAAUGCGUAAAAUACAUAUAUCUGUUAUUUACAUGUAUAUGUGUUAGAAGAUACUAAGAAAUACCGAGAAUCAUUAUCACAAAGCAGUAGGCUUUCAGGUGUUUUCACUUGGUAUUUUUACGCCCCACUUGAAUUUCUGACAAGGUCUAUUUCAUGUAAUAAAAGUAUGGCCACUCCUGCUUUCUUUGGGUUACCAUUUGCAUGGUAUGCUUCUCCCACACUUUCAGCUUCUGCAUGUCCUUAAAGUGAGUCUCUUGUAAAUAAAAUAUAGUUGGAUCUUUUAAA
Non-coding RNA from Sus scrofa (pig), 1451 nucleotides. Lineage: Eukaryota; Metazoa; Chordata; Mammalia; Artiodactyla; Suidae. The record is from RefSeq and is a predicted model, not a curated record.